UACGAAGGGUGCUAGCGUUGUUCGGAAUUACUGGGCGUAAAGCGCACGUAGGCGGAUUUGUUAGUCAGGGGUGAAAUCCCGGGGCUCAACCUCGGAACUGCCUUUGAUACUGCAAGUCUUGAGUCCGGAAGAGGUGAGUGGAAUUCCUAGUGUAGAGGUGAAAUUCGUAGAUAUUAGGAGGAACACCAGUGGCGAAGGCGGCUCACUGGUCCGGUACUGACGCUGAGGUGCGAAAGCGUGGGGAGCAAACAGG
Molecule: ribosomal RNA, 253 nt
Filed under: uncultured bacterium
Lineage: Bacteria
Description: partial 16S ribosomal RNA
Rfam family: Bacterial small subunit ribosomal RNA
Source: RNAcentral